GCGGGUGUAGCUCAGCUGGUAGAGCACAACCUUGCCAAGGUUGGGGUCGCGGGUUCAAAUCCCGUCGCCCGCUUUU
RNAcentral lists this transfer RNA (76 nucleotides) under Thermodesulfovibrio yellowstonii DSM 11347. RNAcentral's name for it is "tRNA-Gly". It matches the Rfam family "tRNA". From Rfam's summary of the family: Transfer RNA (tRNA) molecules are approximately 80 nucleotides in length. Their secondary structure includes four short double-helical elements and three loops (D, anti-codon, and T loops). The record is from RNAcentral. Lineage: Bacteria; Pseudomonadati; Nitrospirota; Thermodesulfovibrionia; Thermodesulfovibrionales; Thermodesulfovibrionaceae.